Molecule: ribosomal RNA, 606 nt
Filed under: uncultured bacterium
Lineage: Bacteria
Description: bacterial SSU rRNA
Rfam family: Bacterial small subunit ribosomal RNA
Source: RNAcentral
CCAGACUCCUACGGGAGGCAGCAGUGGGGAAUUUUGGACAAUGGGGGCAACCCUGAUCCAGCCAUGCCGCGUGUAUGAAGAAGGCCUUCGGGUUGUAAAGUACUUUUGUUAGGGAAGAAAAGGGAAGUGCUAAUACCACUUUUUGCUGACGGUACCUAAAGAAUAAGCACCGGCUAACUACGUGCCAGCAGCCGCGGUAAUACGUAGGGUGCGAGCGUUAAUCGGAAUUACUGAGCGUAAAGCGAGCGCAGACGGUUAUUUAAGCAGGAUGUGAAAUCCCCGGGCUCAACCUGGGAACUGCGUUCUGAACUGGAUAGCUAGAGUGCGUCAGGGGGGGGUAGAAUUCCACGUGUAGCAGUGAAAUGCGUAGAGGUGUGGAGGAAUACCGAUGGCGAAGGCAGCCCCCUGGGAUAACACUGACGUUCAUGCUCGAAAGCGUGGGUAGCAAACAGGAUUAGAUACCCUGGUAGUCCACGCCCUAAACGAUGUCGAUUAGCUGUUGGGCAACUUGAUUGCUUAGUAGCGUAGCUAACGCGUGAAAUCGACCGCCUGGGGAGUACGGUCGCAAGAUUAAAACUCAAAGGAAUUGACGGGGGCCCGCACAAG